This 73-nucleotide transfer RNA is filed under the name Dipodomys ordii (Ord's kangaroo rat). It matches the Rfam family "tRNA". From Rfam's summary of the family: Transfer RNA (tRNA) molecules are approximately 80 nucleotides in length. The record is from Rfam by way of RNAcentral. Lineage: Eukaryota; Metazoa; Chordata; Mammalia; Rodentia; Heteromyidae.
GGGAGCAUUGUUCAAGUGGUAGAGCACUUGUCUAGUAAGCAUGAGAGUCUGAGUUCAAUUCCCAAUACUACCA